GGAAGCGGAGGUUGUUCUUCUCGCGGAGUUUCCUCCAGGACUGUAAUAUGCAUCUUUAGGAGAUCUGAUAAAGAAAAGAAAGGAAAGAAUCAAACAUUAAAGAACUGAGAAUGCAACGAAGAUAGAAAGAGAGAGACGAAUAUAGGGAAAGAAGCCAUAUAUAAAAGCAAGAAAUGAGAGGGAGAGACUUACUGAUCCAUUAUUCUUUUAAUCUUUAAAAAUGAAACUUGAUUCUUGAUUGUAGUAGCUUGUAGGGUUUAUGUUGUUCCCUGUAAUAAUGAGAGAGAGAGAGAGAGGGGUAGUUAUAGCUUCUUGAAGGAGCCUCUUUACUCAGUUAAUGAAAAGAAGUUUCCUUUCCUUUUCCUUUCUUUCCUUCUUUCUUUCUUUCUUUCUUCCCUUAUCUUUCUUUGCUUGCUUGCUUGCUUGUAUAGUUGUGUAUAUUUGCCUGUGGGGAUCAGGUUUGUUUUCUGGGAGAAAGAGAGAGAAUAAGAGAUGCUUUGCCUUACUGUGAUUUGCUUUUCUGUUUUUCCUUACAAAAAUAAAAGAGAAUUUGAAUGGGUUAAAAGUGCAGGAAACAGGUGGAGUUUGUUUAAAAUAAAAAAGGAUACAUGUCUUUUUCUUCUUUUUGUAUUUUUAGUUAGACAUUGAAAUUAACUGUUUGUCCAAGAUUCUAAGUUUUCUU
This 682-nucleotide long non-coding RNA is filed under the name Ricinus communis (castor bean). RNAcentral's name for it is "long non-coding RNA (RCOM_LNC002170)". The record is from RNAcentral. Lineage: Eukaryota; Viridiplantae; Streptophyta; Magnoliopsida; Malpighiales; Euphorbiaceae.